RNAcentral lists this non-coding RNA (46 nucleotides) under Schistosoma margrebowiei. The record is from RNAcentral. Lineage: Eukaryota; Metazoa; Platyhelminthes; Trematoda; Strigeidida; Schistosomatidae.
AUCCAACUGGCGAGUCCCAAAUAGGGAGGAAACGCGCAUCCUGGAU